UGUGGUGCGAUGGAGAGUGAGGUGCUAUAAGAGAUCCGAGAAGAGGUGAGAGAGAGGGGAAGGAGGGGGAGAGGAACAGCGUGAAGGGAGUCCCCUCUUUGGCCCUCUUUGCUCGUUUGCUCUAUUUGCUAUUUUGCUGUUUGGGGGAAUCUCGCUACCACCUGAGAAUGAUGCGAUUUCCUCUGAAUCUGUGCUGGAGUUCUUAGGAUCUGAGGGUGAAAGGGAUCAGAAGGGGAAACAUUCUACCUUGGUGAGGAUUCUCUGCCGAAUAUGGAGUCUCUGCUGCGAUUUGGGUUUGGGGAUUGGAGUUGGAGAUGGGAAGAAGCGAAAUGGUGAGCAUUUGCUGACAAAGUCGGGUUCUUUUAGGGGGGGUGAAAUGGGAUUUUGGAAGAUGGUAUUGCGUUGUUCUGGACUUGUGGUUUUGUAGUCAGAAGCCUGUAGUUUCUGCCGCUCUUGUCCUCGCGCUGUGGAGUGGGUUUCUAGGGUUUGGGAGUAUUAGGGCUUCUGUUGAGGAGUUGAUAGAGGUUUGGAGUUUCGUCAGGGAGGUAUAGGUUUCUUUCAUUCGGCUUAGGGUUUCAUAGUGUUGACGAAGGCGAGCUGGGUUUGGGCUUUGAGGUCAUCGUGAAGGGAGUUCCUAGAAAAAGCUUGGACACGGAGUGAGAUUUCUCGUAUGCUCUGAACUUAAUUGGUAUUUCUUUGGUUCAUUCUCCGGUAGCAGUGCUUCUACUCGAAGAAAGGAAUUUGGGAAAGAAAGAAGGAAGUUACGAUGGAUUUGCUCUGUUAAAAGCAUUCGCCUGAAAAACUAGUUGGACCAUGAUCACAUUCAGCAGCGAACCCGUCAAAGAAUCGAUGAAGGACUCCGACAAGUGCUUGGACUCCCAGCUCUGGCACGCAUGCGCCGGCGGGAUGGUUCAGAUGCCGGCGGUGAACUCGAAGGUGUAUUACUUCCCCCAGGGCCACGCAGAGCACGCCCAAGGCAUCGUGGACUUCGGGAGCUCCCCCCGUGUCCCGGCGCUCCUCCUCUGCCGGGUGACUGCUGUGAAAUUCAUGGCAGAUCCAGAGACCGACGAGGUCUUUGCCAAGAUCCGGAUGAUUCCAGUUCGGUCGGACGAGCCGGACUAUGGCGACGAUGAUGGAAUGGGCCUCGGUGGCAACGGGGCUGAUGUGCAAGAAAAGCCUGCUUCUUUUGCCAAGACACUGACCCAGUCGGAUGCCAACAAUGGCGGGGGCUUCUCUGUUCCUCGCUACUGUGCCGAGACCAUCUUCCCACGGUUGGACUACUCGGCCGACCCUCCAGUCCAGACUGUUCUCGCCAAGGAUGUGCAUGGCGAGGUCUGGAAGUUCAGGCAUAUAUACAGAGGGACUCCUCGCCGGCACUUGCUUACCACCGGGUGGAGCACUUUUGUGAACCAGAAGAAGCUUGUUGCUGGGGAUUCGAUUGUGUUCCUGAGAACAGAGAAUGGGGAUCUUUGUGUGGGGAUCAGACGGGCCAAAAGAGGGGUUGGCGGGGGGCAUGAGUCCCCGUCUGGGUGGAAUCCUCCCACUGGAAACUGUUUCUCAGCCUAUGGGGGUUUAUCUGUCUUCCUGAGGGAAGAAGAAAAUAAGUUGAUGAGAAGCAAUGGAAGUGGCGGUAUCUUGAAUUCUGGUGGGACUAUUAUGAGGGGAAGGGGUCGAGUGAGGGCCGAAUCCGUUAUCGACGCUGCAAAUCUUGCAGCUAAUGGCAAGCCUUUUGAGGUAAUUUACUACCCAAGAGCCAGUACGCCUGAGUUCUGUGUGAAAGCUGCAGCUGUUAGAGUAGCGAUGCGGAUCCAGUGGUGUCCUGGGAUGAGAUUUAAGAUGGCUUUUGAAACUGAGGAUUCCUCGAGGAUUAGCUGGUUCAUGGGAACUAUAUCUUCUGUUCAGGUUGCAGAUCCGAUAAGAUGGCCUAAUUCACCUUGGAGACUUCUUCAGGUGACAUGGGAUGAACCAGACUUAUUACAGAAUGUGAAACAUGUGAGCCCGUGGCUUGUUGAACUGGUUUCUAACAUGCCAGCUAUCCAUUUAACACCCUUCUCCCCACCACGGAAGAAGCUUCGCGUCCCCCAGCACUCUGAUUUUCCCAUUGAUGGCCAAUUUCCAACUCCGGUGUUUCCAGGAAACCCCCUUGGGCCCGGCAGCAGCCCGUUGUGCUUCUUUCCAGACAGCACUCCUGCAGGCAUACAGGGAGCCAGGCAUGCUCAAUUUGGUAUAUCUCUAUCAGAUCUCCACCUUAACAAACUGCAGUCGGGUCUGUUCCAUGCUGGGCUUCAAAGGCUUGAUCAAGCCACUCCACCCUCUAGAAUCUCCACAGGACUUCUCAUUGGCAAUCCUGCCAUUCAUGACAAUGUAUCUUGUUUGCUAACUGUGGGCAAUCCUUCUCAGAGCACAAAGAAACUAUGCAAUGGAAAGACACCUCAGUUAGUGCUCUUUGGACAGCCAAUACUCACUGAACAGCAGAUAUCUUUGAGCAAUUCUGGGGACAUAAUCUCCCCUGGAGUUACUGGAAACAGUUCAUCAGAUGGGAAUCCUGAAAAGACCACAAACAUGUCAGAUGGUUCUGGCUCUUCAGUUCAUCAAAAUGGGCUUGCAGAGAAUUCGUCAUGUGAAGGAUUUCCAUGGUACAGGGAUCGCCGAGCAUCCGAGCUUGGUCUGGAGACUGGACAUUGCAAGGUAUUCAUGGAAUCAGAGGAUGUAGGUCGCACCCUGGACCUUUCUGUCCUUGGUUCAUACGAAGAGCUGUAUGGGAGGCUAGCUGACAUGUUUGGGAUUGAUAAAUCAGAAAUGAUGAGCCAUGUGCUUUACCGAGAUGCAGCAGGUGCAGUUAAGCAAACUGGAGGUGAACCCUUCAGGAUCCUAUAGGAGCUUGCAUUCCUCCUUUCGUAGCAUUUUCGUUUCUUCCUGUUACUUUCAUCUCUUCUGCGAGUUCACCAAGACAGCACGGAGGCUGACGAUAUUAACGGAUUCGGGCAGCGACAACAUAGGAAGGAAUGCAGUUGUUUCAUGAAUGCGCGUAUGGCGUUACUGGAAGCCUUCGCAGAAAUUGUUCCAUAUGUUCAUAUGACUGGUCAAUAAGCGCUUGAUCCUAUUUAGUAAGAAAAUGGAUGUAAUCAAUUACGUUUUUUUUUGUUUCCA
Phoenix dactylifera (date palm) is the source of this 3150-nucleotide non-coding RNA. The record is from RefSeq and is a predicted model, not a curated record. NCBI's taxonomy places the organism in Eukaryota, Viridiplantae, Streptophyta, Magnoliopsida, Arecales, Arecaceae.